UGAUAUAGAUCAACAAAGCCUAUAUUUAAAGUGGAUGGCUUAUUUCAGUAGGUGUAGCUGGAAGGCUGUGUGGACCAACCCUAUUGAUAUGGUCAAGAUCUAUGGGUCCAAGUUUGAGCAGUGAGACCGCUUUAAGAAUUGGCCAGUGGACGGCACACACCUCCUGGGCUUGCAGAAUCUUGUCAAGAUGCUUAGCAAUGAGGCCCAGCUGGCCCAGAAGAAGGCCUCAGAAUCAGCAGUCGAGAAGAACAAGGCCAGGGCAGAACAGCAGAUGGGAGGCACGGAUGAAUUCUUUAUCGGCCCAUAAUAUUUCAAAAGCUUUUGGCAGUCGAACAUUAACACUUUAACACUGUUGUGAAAUAAAUAAAUAUUUGCAAAAAAGCACAAGGAAGAUUAACAUCUUCCUUCUAACAUGUAAAAACACAUUUUUGGGGGGGUGGUGUUCUCUACUUUAUUUAACAGGAUUACAUUUUUUUAUAUACAAAUAGCACACCAUUUGCCAGAGUAAAAAUGGGGAUAAAGUAAUAAUAAACAAAUAUGGAAUACAAUUGUGAACAGA
This is a long non-coding RNA of Osmerus eperlanus (European smelt), 559 nucleotides long. RefSeq lists it as uncharacterized. The record is from RefSeq and is a predicted model, not a curated record. The transcript has 3 exons. Lineage: Eukaryota; Metazoa; Chordata; Actinopteri; Osmeriformes; Osmeridae.